CUUGCCUUGAAAAAUGCGACCCUGCAAGAAGAACAUAUCAAUGCAAAUGAUAUAAGUAAAAUUUUAUGAUCUGACUACAAACAGUAUCAUACCUGAACAGGUCUGCCUUUCAGUGAGUUGGACAUUGUAUUGGCCAACCGAACAGCUAUCUUCUGGUCCUCCUGCAUAGGAUGAUUAGGAAAGCAAAAAGUUUAUGGAACAAAAACUGACCAUCAAUAUAAUAUAAGACAUCAAAGAUAUAAAUAAGCUUGAACAUGGCAUCAGCUAGAAAAAAAAUAAUUAAAUACAUAAAAAUAUUUUUCGAGAAAAGAGCACAUUUUACUAUAGCACCAUGAUUCAACAACUCCUUCAUUACCAUAUGGUGAAAGUCAUCAGGCACAAAAAAUAUUCUUAUAUGCCACUAAUAAGGCUGGAAUUUAUCAGAUAGAUACCUAGCAUGACAAAGUUGCAGAACAAAAUCUUACAUUCUAUAUUCUUGAUUUGAUAGGAAACAAAGAACAAUGCAGUUGUGAACAAUAACACAUUUCAAAAAUCAAAUACUUCAUACAGUAAAAGAACAAACUAAAAACAAAUGAACCAAAAUGAUUGAGCCACAUAGUCCACAAAGCAAGAAAUUGACCAACUAAAUGAAGCACAGAUGCUCUAUAAAAAUUAAUGGGAAAAGAAAUAUUUCAAGAGUACUGGUCCAGAACUCCAGAUAUUACGUGGUUAAGUGUUGGAUGAAGGAAGACCAAAAGCUGUGAUACACAUUCAGGUAGAAAUGGAAGAAAGCAGAUCAAGGAAGCACUGAUCUUUAGAUUUCUACAGUCUUAAUUAAGAAAAGGUGGAAGUAAAGAAAAAAAGAAAUCUCAGACACAGUUCCAGACAACACAGUGGUGUACUAAAAUAUCCAGUAGAAAUGAAUCAUAUCCAAACUUAGAGCACAACAGGUAACACCACCAUUUCUUCACAUUCCCAUCAGAACAAACUCAUAUCCAGAUCAUAAAAGUUGUUGAAUAUGUAUGCUUUUGUUUUCAAUACAAAGGCAUGCUAUAAUAGAAGCAAUUUGACAGCUCAGAUAACAUUACUUGUGAUAUUGAUCUGUGUCAAUGACAUUAUUAUUAACAUAUACUUUCAAUUAUCCUGAACACAAAUAUUAACAAUAUAAUUACCUCUAUGCUAUCUUUUCCAAACCAACAACACAAAAGGUAAUCUUCUUUCCUGUCACCUGAGUGAUAGGUGUAAAGUAUGAUAUAGCAAUCCCCACUAUAAAAUUUACCAAUAUCAUCCUUAGGCAAUGGAGUCUUUGCGCUACCAUUGAUGCACCAUACCUGUAAAACAAACAAUAUUCAAUAUUCUGAAAGACACCAGUGUACGAAGCAAAAUA
RNAcentral lists this unclassified non-coding RNA (1366 nucleotides) under Hevea brasiliensis (rubber tree). Lineage: Eukaryota; Viridiplantae; Streptophyta; Magnoliopsida; Malpighiales; Euphorbiaceae. The record is from RNAcentral.